Molecule: ribosomal RNA, 602 nt
Filed under: Balneolaceae bacterium
Lineage: Bacteria; Pseudomonadati; Balneolota; Balneolia; Balneolales; Balneolaceae
Description: partial 23S ribosomal RNA
Rfam family: Bacterial large subunit ribosomal RNA
Source: RNAcentral
GCCAAUCAAACGUGGAAAUAGCUCGUACUCCCUGAAAUAUAUUUAGGUAUAGCGUCUGGUUUUGUCUCUCCGGAGGUAGAGCACUGAUUAGGCUAGGGCCCUUCACCGGGUACCAACCCUAGACAAACUCCAAAUACCGGAGCAGAGCCACCAGGCAGUCAGUGGCAGGGUGAUAACGUCCUGUCGCGAGAGGGAAACAACCCAGACCGCCAGUUAAGGUCCCCAAGUCAUGGCUGAGUGGUGAAGGAUGUGGAGACGCUAAGACAGCUAGGAGGUUGGCUUAGAAGCAGCCAUUCCUUUAAAGAGUGCGUAAUAGCUCACUAGUUAAGCGGCCCGGCGUCGAUAAUACACGGGCAUUAAACACACUGCCGAAGCUGUGGUUCCCCCGAGCAAUCGGGGGGAGGUAAGGGAGCAUUCCAGGGGCGCAGAAGCGGAGUUGUGAGACUCUGUGGAGCCCCUGGAAGCGAAACUGUAGGCAUGAGUAACGAUAAGACGGGCGAGAAACCCGUCCACCGUAAACCCAAGGGUUCCUGAUCAACGCUAAUCGGAUCAGGGUUAGUCGAGACCUAAGGUGUAGCCGAAAGGCGAAGCCGAUGGCAAAC